Molecule: non-coding RNA, 19041 nt
Organism: Rattus norvegicus (Norway rat)
Lineage: Eukaryota; Metazoa; Chordata; Mammalia; Rodentia; Muridae
Source: RefSeq, a predicted model, not a curated record
GGGAGAAGAGAUAGGGGGAUUCCUCAGGAAAGGAGAUAACAUUUGAAAUGUAAGGAAAAAAUAUCCAUUAAAAAAUAAAAUGGUAAAAAAACAUAAAAUAAAAAUAAAGCAUUUAAUUGGGCCUUGUUUACAGUUUCAGAGAUGUAGUCCAUUAUCCUCACGACAGGGAGCAUGCGGCAUGCAGGCAGGCCUGGUACUGGAGAAGUAACUGAGAGUUCUACAUCUGGAUCCAUAGGCAGUAGGAAGAGAGUAAGACUCUGGGUUUGGCAUGGGUUUUUGAAACCUCAAAGCCACUCCACCCUCCAGUGACACACUUCCUCCACCAAGGUCACACCUCCUAACUCUUUCAAAUGGUAUCACUCCUUGGUGGCCAAGCAUUCAAAUAUAUGAGCCAAUUUGGCCAUUCUCAUUCAAACCAUUAUACCUUUCUCAUAAAGGUAGUAAUUUCAUUCUUAAAUAAUUCCAUUCAUAAUUAUAAUACAAUUUAUAAAAAGAGUCCUGAUGAUGAUGAUAAAUUCAUAAUUUUCUCCCAAAAAACUCCCUCAUAGAGAACCCACACUGAGGAGUUUGAAAUUUAGUAUAUGAAUUUUGGGAAGGCACAAAUAUUUAGUGUAUAGUUUUACCUUUGUAAUCUAAUUUUUAUCUUUUGCACAUGCUUAAUAAAUAGAUUGCAUCUCAAUAUUCUAAAAGUAUUAAUGCACCUCAGUAUCAUCUCUGAAGGCUAACCUCUAACCUUGCAUCUAAAUAUCGUUAAGCCAGGUGUGGGUGACACUCAUGGUUCAGUUAAUUCUGAGGCAGAUUUCUCUCCAGGUGUGAGCCAGUAUCCUUGUAAGUCACACUUCCAAAAUGUAAGUGUGGGAUAGUCCCACUCAAACUGCCAGGAACAUUGCCUUGGUUUAGACCGGGUUCUGUGUCCUAGGCUUAUAUUGGGGGUCACUGGGGCAGGGUUUCAUCUGGGUGCCCUGGUUUGAACACCUCAGCCUUGCCAACCCUACCUGGAAGCCUUUUGUGCACAGGGUUCAGGUGAGUGGGUCACGAGAAUGACUCUGCCUUGAUGGCUUUUGGUCAGGGGCAUUCUGACAUGACGAAAGCAAAACCGUGAUCCCCACUGGACAAUUAGGAAGGAAUCCUGAAGAUUGCAAGCUGUGGCAAAGGUCACUCACCUCCCCUUUCAGAUCAGCACAGUCUCAACCAGAUAAAGCUCUGCUCCCCAUCCCCAUCCCUCCAGCUGGCAAGUGAUUAAGGCCAUGAGCGUAGCCAUGCUAAUUUCUCUAUGAACGGGGAUAUAACUAUAUACUUAGUGAUCUUUCUAGAACUCUCUCUCUCGUAGUGUGAUUAGGAUGAGCAUUUUGAUUAGUUUCUCUUUGGAACAACAGUCUUGUCUUUAUGUAGUUUCUCUUUUUAUCAAAUUUUUCCAAGGCAAGUCAUGGGGAGCUAAGCUGUACUUUAUGACUUUGAUUAGCAAUAGCAUCAGCUAGAUUUCCAGUUUUGUUGUUCAUAAAAACUAGUUAAUGUCCGUAGGACACUUGGAGCAUGAACAAAAUUCAGUCAAAUUUUGCCACUUAAUAGCAAAAAUCAUCUUUUCUUUACUGUCCAAUGACAUGGGACCAUCUAAAAGGCCUGUACCAUCUAUGUUUCUGGCAUCAUUCUGUCAGGCCUUGAUUUAGUAAAUGGAAAAUUGACUCCCUAUUCAUAAAAUUCACUAACCAAAUGGUUAUACCAAGAUCUAGAGAAGUGUUAUUUAUACGAGUGACAGUGGCUGGUACUUGUAGAAUUUACCAUGAGUUGUAAUUGUUCUAAGAGGGUUUUUACAGAUUUGUUAAUAUCAACUAAUUGAUUAAUUAAUUUUUAAUGUUAUUAUUAUAGAGCUGGGGGCAGAACCAAGAGCCUGGAGCAUGCCAGGCAAGCGCUAAACCUCUGACCUACCAGGUAUCCUAACUAAUCUUUAUAAGAAUCCUAUAUAGAAAGCAAUCCUAUUAUUAUCACUACUGCAAAGAUAUGAAUUUACAGGGGAUGAGUAGUUUGCACGUACCACACGUAGCACAGUUAGUGGAGCAGAGAGUUUCAAUUCAGAAACUUUAAUGCCAAGGCCCCAGUUCUCAGCCACUUUGAUGUAUUGUUUACUGUUUGUGUAAUGCUGUAUGGUAUCUGGCUUGUAUAGAUAAGAAAUAGGAGCAGCCAGGCGCCAUUUUACCAUAUGUUGCAGUCAGAUGUUAAUUUGAAAUUAUUAGUGAUCGGGGAAGGCUUAAGUAGAGCGAGAUAUAUGCCAAACAUAUUAAAUAAAUGCUAAUAGGAGUUAAUGAAUAAGAAUGCUUUAAUAUUCUGGGAUUACCCCAGUGAGGAAUGAACUGCAAGUUUGCAUCUGCCCUUUGGCUUUUAAAAUGCAAAUUCUACCAAAAAAGAACAUGAGAACAAAGUCGCUCACAUGGGUGCAGCAACUCAAUUUCCCCACAGACAGACCCAUAUAAUCCAGAAUCCCAUCAAGAAGUGAGAGUUGAUUAAGUCCCCAAAGAUUUGUCCCUUUCCUUAGUAGUCAUCAUCUCUUAAAGGGACUUUCACAAGUCAUUGGCGUCCUACCAUAUUGUGUGCUUAUGUGCUCAUAUAAACUAUUCUUACAGGUAUGAAUCAGGUAAUUUGCAUCUUGAAGGGUCUCCUCUACUGCUCCCAAUCCGACCCUCUUGCGGGAGAGUCUUCUCAGGAGAUAGGCUCUUUCCUUGGCUCUUCAGGCUUAGGCUCUGGGUAUGGAGCUGUUUGUGGACUUGGUCAUUUUUGACUAAAGGCUUUUUGACUUUUUCCCCUAGGCUGUGUGUAGUUUUGGAUCUGGAAGCUUUAGUUACAACGGUGUGUAGCCUUGGCUUGGUAAAUUAUGAUUCUAGAAAAACAGGAGCAACGGCAGAGCCAGUCAAGGGGAUUUGGCUAUGGCACUGCCGUCACUGAAGUGUCCACUGAGUCUCCGCCCACAGCAUCCACCAAACGCACGCUGUAGAUUCCAAUGAUUACCGCUUUGCAGAGUUGACGAUGUCACUUCACACUUUCCUAAGCUUCCACGGUAAUACUUUAGCCAAUGACAAAUCGCUUCCUCCUUCUUUCCAAUGAAGAAGUCACCGUCUGCAGCUGUCAAAAUUACUUUAUUUACCUGAGACUGAGCUCCACUUACCUUGAUGGAUGAGUUCACUUUUGGGGAAUCCUGAGCAAUGCCACCUUACUUAUUUCUGUGAUUCUUUCUUGCUAAGCAUAGUGACUUUGCGAUCACCUCACCGCGUAUCCCGAGGUGUCUGUGUGCAUUUAUUUACUGACUCCAUUUAGUCGGUUUAAUGAGCAGAGAGUAAAAAUUCAUGAUAAAAAGAAACAAUUUCCAGGCAUGAAAUCAUCUACCUCUGAGAAGGCUUCAGGGGGUUUGUGUAAGUUCCAGGCUGUUGCCCCACCCAGUUAGGUAAGAUGGCCCAAUGUCAUUUUUUGUUUGGAACUAUUGGGUAUGGAGCAGAAAUACCUACAUUUUCUUCUACAGGCCCAAGGAAGACACAUAUUAUUUAUGGCUUGUCUGAGGUACCAAGCCAGACUUGGGUUUUCCUGUCAGUACAUGGAGUGGACACACCCCAGAUGGAUACAAGCAGCAAUGGUUUCCCUUGUAGCCAAACACUUACCUUGCACGCACUUCAAGAGCUUCCAGAGAUCCCGGUGAAGGAGACUCCUAUUGGGUUUGUGUCAAAACCUUAUGUACACAUUUCAUGGUCAGUAGUGGGUCCAAACGUAAGAGGUGAUUGAUACACAUUUACAUUUGGGUCAUUGAGCAUGCUCUACAGCCUCUGUGACACAGUGGACUUCGUGGCCACUUAGUUACUUCAAAUGGAGAUAUCGGAGUUAACGCUGUAUGAAGUGUCUGGGGUAGUAGGUAUUUUUUCACUUGUUUGAGUUUGUAAAGCUCACCCGCCACCAUUCUGUUAGAUGAAGACAAACUGUUUCAACUAAAGCACAAGGCAAGCUCUUUAAUGGUCCCCGUUUCUGGCUAAGCCACAACUGAUCAAUCCAAAACUGCUCUGUGGGUUGGAGUCCACACCCCUCUUUAGGUUUUAUCUCUCUGGUCUGAAACUAAAAUCCACUUUGGAAAGAGCCUGCCCUUCUGCCUCACACCAGUCAGAACAGUUAAGAUCAAAAACUCGGAUGACAGCAGAUGCUGGCGAGGAUGUGGAGAAAGAGGAACACUCCUCCAUUGUUGGUGGGAUUGCAGACUGGUACAACCACUCUGGAAAUCAGUCUGGAGGUUCCUCAGAAAAUUGGACAUUGAACUACCUGAGGACCCAGCUAUACCUCUCUUGGGCAUAUACCCAAAAGAUGCCCCAACAUAUAACAAAGACACAUUCUCCCCUAUGUUCAUAGCAGCCUUAUUUAUAAUAGCCAGAAGCUGGAAAGAACCCAGAUGCCCUUCAACAGAGGAAUGGAUACAGAAAAUGUGGUACAUCUAUACAAUGGAAUAUUACUCAGCUAUCAAAAACAAUAACUUCAUGAAAUUCAUAGAGAAAUGGAUGGAACUAGAAAAUAUCAUCCUGAGUGAGGUAACCCAGACAUAAAAAACAUUCAUGGCAGAUAUUAAUCCACAAGCUCAAAAUACCCAAGAUAGAAUUCACAGACUACAUGAAGCUCAAGAAGAAGGACGAUCAAAGUGUGGAUGCUUCUGUCUUUCUUAGAAGGGGGAACAAAAUACUCAUAGGAGGAAAUAUGUGGAGACAAAGUUUGAGCAGAGACUGAAGGAAAGGCCAUCCAGAGACUGCCCCACCUGGGGAUCCAUCCCAUAUUCAGCCACCAAACUCAGACACUAUUGCUGAUGCCAAGAAGUGUUUACUGACAGGAGCCUGAUAUAGCUGUCUCCUGAGAAGCUCUUUCAGAGCCUGACAAACACAGAGGUGGAUGAUUGCAGCCAACCAUUGAACUAAAAAUAGAGUCCCCAAUGGAGGAGUUAGAGAAAGGACUGAAGGAGCUGAAGGGUUUACAACCCUAUAAGAACAACAAUAAUAUCAACCAACCAGAGCUUCCAGAGCUCCUAGGGGACUAAACCACCAACCAGUACACAGGGAUGGACCUAUGGCUCCAUCUGUAUAUGUAGCAGAGGAUGGCCUUGUCAGGCAUCAAUGGGAGGGGAUGCUCCAGUGUAGGGGAAUGUCAGGGCAGGGAGGAAGUGGAUGGAUGGGUGGGGGAACAUCUUUAUAGAAGCAGGGAGAGGGGAGAAGAGAUAGUGAAUUUCUGAAGGGGAAACCAGGAAAGGGGAUAACAUUUGAAAUGUAAAUUAAAAAAUCCAAUAAAAAUACCAAGUAUGGUUAAAAAAAAAAAGAGCCUGCCAGGAAGCUUCAGGAACUGGUCAUUAUCAGGUUACUGCUGUCUAUGCCAUGUUUUCAGAACGAUGUUUUAAGAGCCUUGAAAUGCAUGCGUACACUUAUUGAAGUGAAUUAACUUAACAUUUUAGAAGUAAAUGAAUGUAUAUGCUCAUCUGAGAAAGAGCCUUCCCCACAUAUAUUUUCCAUAAGAGAAGUGUUGUAGAGGGUUGCGAACUGGCGGACAGUAAUUCUGAUAUAGUACUAUGCAAACUUUACUUUUUGUCUGUAUAUUUGUUUUAAAAGUUGAUUUUUUCAGCUUACAAGCCCUUCCUUUGGAACAUAAGUCCUUUUUCUGUAACCUCUAAUUACUGAUUGCUUUUUGGCUCUCCUGAUUCAGACUUUUAUGUUCUUUAAUAAUUCUUGUAGACUUUGAGUUUUCCGUCACUGGUUUAGGCUUUUUAACACAGCCAGCAAACAGUUUUAACUUUGCAGACCUCGAAGGCAGAAAUCCCCCGACUCGUCUUUUUAUUCCUCUCUUAGCACUGCCAGGGUGUGAUCCCCUCAUCUCUAGGAGGAAGUAGGGGACCCCUAACAUUCUGUCCUCCAACUUUCUUUAGCCUCUGUAUUUGAAAGCAACAUCAGAGACUCACACUAUAGACUACGCCCAUCCAUCUUUCUCUCAAUGCCCUGUGUUGAGGAUCCGCGUCUCGUGAGCCCACUCACAGUAUUUUCCUAUGAUAUCCUUUCUACGCUUGCGUAUCCACAAAGCUUUCCCCUCUCAUCUCACUUUGUCUUUUCUAUUAUCCUCAUGUUUCGUUUCCUAGAACUUUUAUCCAAUUGAAUUUCUUGGAGGCUAUCCUCUGUGCAAUCUCUAAAAAAUAUUUCCUUUUCUACAACCACCUGUUUUACAGUGCCUUACCGUCCUCUCUCGAGUGCCACGGUUUCUUGCUUUCAUUGCAAAGACUUCUAUAGGCACAGAAAGCCAUUUCAUUUUGUGAUAAGAUUUCAGCAAAGUUUCUAGGGCCAGCUGAAAUUCUUCCAACUAUUUACACACACACACACACACACACACACACACACACACACACACACACACACACACAGUAAUUACUUCCUCCACAGUUUAGUUAGAGUUCACCACAUGUAUUACCACAAUCCAAAUUCUAUUUAUGUAGCAGAAAGAUUCGUUCUAUGUUAGGAAAGGCAACUUUUUUCUUUUUAUAUUUAGUGCGGAUCUACUUUCUCUUUCCUGCUUCUUAAGUUCAGUGGAUAGUUCUGCUUUCCUAGUAAAUAAGCUUACUCAGACAAUGCCAGUGCUGGCUUGAUCGUGUGCAGCAUUUUCCUAUAAUUUGAACAAAACUUGGGCAGGUUUUAGAGUAAAUAAUUAAUUGCACCAACCUCAUUCACCACACCACCAAGAGCUAAUUUUAGAAAAGAAACAGAUUUCCAGCAGAUGGUAAUUGAAGGAAAAACAUUGACUUUUUAAAUUAUAAGUCUAAUUUUUAAAUGCACCUUAUGCACAACUGGAUUCCCACAGUCUGCCACUUAUCAGGAGAUAGCACAUCACAGGGCAGGUCUGGAUAAGGUGAGCCACUGUGUCUGGGGCGGGGGGUGGUGGAAAUCACAGGGCAAAGGAGGAAAGAGUAUAUAAAAAGUAUAUAUAGGUUCUGCCACACUCCUUAGAGGAAACUGAGCCUGACGUGCAUGGAGUUUAUUUCCUCUCAGUAUCUUCAAUGAGAUAAUCAAGGGAAACCAGUGUGGACACGUUCUGACCUUUAUCACCCCCAUUACAUUCUUACUGUUUUAUAAGAAAUGGGGAGAAAAGCAGAGAAUUCCUUUCUCUCAAGUUCAAUAUCCUCCCCUUCCUCCUCCUCUUCCUUUCCCUCCUCCUCCCUCUUCUUCCUUCUUUUUGCCUGCAUGUACACACACACACACACACACACACACACACACACACACACACACACACGGCUGACCGCUUGGGAGUGAAUAACCAUUUUGGGGGCUCAUCCUUGGAGAAGACUAACUCUCCAUCUCUUAGUGGCCUCAUUGUAGUUCUUCAACCAGGGGUGGGCCCUCUGAGAGUUUCCUCAUCCCCUUUGUCAUGUCCCAUGUCAACUGGCUUGUCAUUGUUCAGGUCUUGUUUGGACACCCACAUGGUUGAGAUUUCUUGGGUGUAGCUUCCCUGCCACACCUAAGAGAUACAAUUUUGCAGGAGGCUUCCUGGUCCUCUGUCUCUUACAAUCUUUCCACCCCUUUCCCUACACUGAAUCCUAGAUGUGGGGGUGGUGUUGUAGAUGUACCACUUGGACCGAACAUUCCUGAGUCUGUUGCUUUCUGAAUUUUGACCAGCUGUGGCUUUCUGUCAUUGAAAUCCAUUUGCUGCUCAAAGAGUCUACAAGAAACUUCUUUGAGGAGGGGUGAGGACUACGCUUUUCUCUGUGUGUGCAGGGCUAGGUAUUUAGAAUGCUGUUAGCAGUUAUGUUUGCUUAGGAGACUGCUGUGGUUGAGAUCUGUGACUUCACUAGCCAUUGAGCAGUUGGCAAGGCUUACAGUACCAGACUCGAUUCCUCUCCUUUUGAGAGGAUCAUCAGUUUAAUUUGACAGCUGUGGCCGUCACCACAGUAUUAGUGCCGCGAUUGUACCUUUAGGGAUAUCUUAUCAUUCUGAUCACUUGUUGGACCAUUUUUUUUUUUUUUAAACAGCAGUGGAGACAUUGCCUGAUACUCACUAGCAGUGAAAGUCUACGAGGACUCUUUGUACGCAUCUCAGAAAGGGAUGUUUAAUGUGCCACGCGUGUUUCUGUUUAUAAUGGCCCACUUUUCUUUUUUGUAUUUUAGCUUUUUAAGAAGACAAUUUCUCUGAGUCAGUUUUUUCUUAGCUAAAAAGAAUACUUCCAUUUUUAAAGUCAUACGGCUAUGCUGGCAGCAACACUGUAGUCAAGGACCAUGUAAAACUGUUGGCAUCUUUCAUCUCUGUAUUUUAAAGGGAAGUGCAGAAGACAGGGACGUCCCAGAAACACACAAUGUGCAUUUGAGAGACCGUUUAUAAAAUGUGGCAUGGAUUCCUUUCUGGCCCCAUUUCAAACUGAAGUCUUUUCAGCAAUGAAGUGUUCCAGUAGCUGGCCAUUCUCUCAUUCGAUACCAUCCACUAUCCUCAGAAAACAGACGAGGUCGGUUUGCCUGAAGCUGCUCGCAAUUACGUCUCAUUCCAUUUUCUGGGAGUAAUUAUAACGGCUAUUCAGAUAUUCGGAGAUAACUGUUAUUUCUUCCUUGUUUUUGAAAGCUAAGCUCAGAAACCCAAGUUCCUUUGACCUCUGUGCACAUAAAUGUGCUUUCAAAUAUCCAAGUCUCCCGCACCACACUAAUGUUCAUUAAUUUUCCUCUUAAGGCAUAAUUCUAAGACUUUUAUCAUAGCACUCUAGCCAUUGUCUGCCAAGAUCACAGUAUAAUUCUGAACAUUUUAAUUCUCGUAAUAAAACCUAGUGUAAAGGAAUAGCCAGGCCCUUAGAGACGCCGUCUAAUCUUUUGUUACUUGCAUGGUCAAUAUUAUUACAAUUUUACCCGUUGAGACAACUUUUAUUUUUAAGACAGAACUCGUAGGAUGCAAAUGUUUAAGUUUCUAAAUGUCAGAUAAUUGAUAUCUAGCUUAAUGUGAUAAUGUUUUAUCAGAAAGUGAUUUCUUAGCUUAAAUCGAUCUUGUUUUCUAAAACUGAUAAGAGUUAAAAUAUUAGAUUUUUUUUUUGCCUUAGGAUUGAAAUACAUAAAGGAAAUGGAAUUUUAUUCCCUAGCGUAUACUCUAGGAUACACUCUAAGGUGCUGGACUGUUCACAUUAGUCGUGAGUAAUUGACAAUAACAAAUGGGGCUUUAUUAUUUAUAGGUUGCUCUUCAUCCCUAUGCUGCCAUAUUUUGAAGAGAGAGAAUGCGUGUGUUUGUGUCUGUGUAUGUUUGUGUGUGUGUGUGUGUGUGUGUGUGUGUGUAUGAGAGAGACAGACAAAGAGACAGAGACGGGAGGGAGGGAGAGAGAGCAGAAGAGAGCGAUGACGCACUUACCUAAAUUUUCGGAGAUAGCUUUCUCGCCUAUUUAAGGAGUCUGUUCUGCAGAGCUGAGGAGAUGGCUCACUUUUUAAGAGCCCAUGCUGCUCUUGCAGAGGACCACAGUUGGUUCCCAGUACCCAUGUUGGCUGGCCCAAACUCCAGUUCCAGCGCAUAUGGUACCCUCUUCUGGGUUCCCUGGAUACCUGCACAUACCCACACAUAGGAUUAAAAAACAAUACAACAAAAUUAAAAAUUGAAACAUAAAAAUAAAGCAAGCAUAGAAGUAAGAAAAUAAAAGAUUAAAACAUUUCUGUGUUUGCUUUCUAAUAAUUAGUCAUAGCUGACAGAGCAACUAUGGAUUUUCAACUAUUUAUGUAGAGUCCAGAAGUCAACACUGGGUGUCUUCCUUAGUAAUUCUCCAUCUCAUUUUUAAAAAAUUUGCCAUUUUCAUCAUCACCAUCAUCAUCAUUACUGAUAAGUGUAUGCAUGUAUGUGUAUAUUUCUGUGUGUAUGCAUGUAUGUGUACAUGCAUAUAUGUGUAUAUACGUAUAUGUCUGUGUGUGUUUGUGCAUAUGUGUGUAUGUGUGUGUAUGUGCAUGUGUGUGUAUGUGCUUGUAUGUGUAAGUGCAUGUGUGUGUGUUAUGUGUAUGUGUGUGUGUGGAUGUGUGUUCACGUUUUAUAUUGGAGGUGCAUGUGUUCCUUGGCGGUAUGAAAGUCAUAGAACAAAGCUCUCUGGAGUUAGUUCCUUCCAUGAUUUUGUGAUUCCAAGGAUCAAACUCAGCUCUUCUGGUAAUUGCUUUUAUUGGCUGCGGCUUGUGACUACCUCUCACCAUCAUGUUAUUUAAACCUCAAUCGCAAUUUUGCUACGAUUUUAGUAUCAGGGUAGUGCAAACAGUGGGUAGCAAGCGUCCAGGUGAGGAAGACAUUAUUAUCCCAGGUCAUCGAAGUCAGAUCAUGAACUUUUCACCCAUCCUGCUGUGACAGUAUGGGCAUGGAUUUAAGACUGUCAAUCAACCAUUGAUGUCUUCAGUGGUAUGUCUUUGUUUCUAGGUGUUGGUCAGAGACUCUCGGUCCUUGCUGGGCUGUAAUGGAAUUUGAUGGCCUUGGGUGACAGGUGAUGGGGAAGCUGCUUCUAUGUUUCUUGAACAUCAUCGCCAAAGAGACUUGGCUCAGAGACAGACUUCAGUUAAGUCCUUUUAGGACAUUGGCUGCAAACCUAGCAACAGUUUCAAGAAUGGAACCAGUGGGUUUUUACCCAGGUGUUGCCUCCAUUCAUAUUGAGUGGCCAAGGACACACUUCUCCAGGUUUGCAGAGAUGUCUGUUUAUCUGUUUCCUCUGUUUACAGAUCUCCUGGUUUUGUUUUCUAAUAAACAGUCACAGUUGGUAGCACAACCGAGGCUUCCCCUCUUUCCGUGUAUUUAAUUGCUUCGAGUAGUGUACCUGGGGCCUGCCAUUUAAACACAGCUCAAGAAACUAUUUCCCUAUCUGUUUUCUUCAAAGCAUUUCCCCUCAGAUGACAAUAAUGAGCGCAGUGUGGGAAGCUACGCUUUAUGUAAAUGAUUGCCUUUGCAGAGACGUGAGGGCACAUGCUAAUAUUCCACUGCAUUCAGGGAGAUCAGAGGUCUGUUGUCUCAUGCUGAGUCUAAGGCUGGAGAUUUUCAAACCUCCUCAUGCAGAUGAGAGGCUGCUCCUUUAGAGCCUGCAGUCUUCCUCAUGGGGAGAAGUUUUCAAAAGGGAGCUGCAGUUUUUUCUGGAAACCAAGUACUGGGUAGGGAGGGCCAAAGGUUAUGCAGAUUCCUCUCACAUAGCCUGUGUUCAGCAGUAGAGUAAGUGGAGGAGGGGUAGCACCAGGGGAUUCUUAAAGUCCUCUGAAAUGAAAUUUCAACCAGAUUCUUACUCUUUUCAGUGGUCAAAAUUCCCCAGUGAAAGACUGACAGCUUAACAAUAAAUUAAUUUCGGAAAACUAGCAUAUUCAAAUUCUUCCUUUCCUCCUUCACAUCCUAAAGUCCCUACCUAAAUGGGAUUGGACACAAGAUCGGAAUUUAUGGGAAAAGAAAGAAAAAAAAAUCCUCCAGCGCAGUGGUGAGCUCUGUGGGGGAGACUCAGAGGACUUUACUGCAUUUUUGGCAGAUAAAGCAUGAAUUUAUUAAUGCGCUAGUGGAAAUGACUCACUGACAAGUUCUGUUAGCCUCCAUCAUGAUUCAGAGUAGAGGCAGAAGGAUUUUACUAAACGUAUUUCCAUUAUCUUUUUCUUAGUCAGCAGUCAUGUUCUCUGCUGGUGUAAAGUGCAGCCCACUCCAGCCCUCACAAACUCUGCCUUUUGCCCUGGUGCUCUGGAGCCAGCUAGCUAGCCAGGAUCUCUGCUGCAAAUGUUAAUUCAUUCCUCGACUGAUUGGUGGCAGCUGUUCCUUAACUGAAGCCCGAUGAGGUUAUGCUUACAAGGGAAUAAUACAAACAAAACAGAAAGAACAGCAGAGAGUGUAGGAGUGGGGUCUUGGCACAAGAUUUGCUUGAAUCUCGACUUUUCAGAGACUGUAUUACAAGUGACGUAGAAACGUUAGUGUGAUUCUGGGACCCGCUGUAACACACUGUAUCUUGGCUCUUUUGGGUCAACUCUUACCCAGGCCUGUUGUUAGCGUCUGUUUUAUAAGCUACAGACAGCUAAAAUGGCAGCACAAACUCCAGUCAAAGCUGAAUGGAGUGGUGGUGGGCAUGGGUUAUUUAGUUUGUCUCUCCGUGAAUUUCCCUGAGUCUCCCCCCCUACCCCUUUUUCUUCCAUUUUCUCUCUUACAGUCCCCCCACCCCCUGUAAUUAACAAAUGCUUUCUUCUCCUUGCCAACAUGGUUUUUUGGACAAAAUUAUAUGCACUUGAACAUAAAAACAACUAGCAAAUUUCGUAAACAUAUUCUAAAGCUCUAAAUACCCAUCACCUCAGGAUGCAAGACAAGGAUUAUCAUUAGUGUCAUGAAGCCAUUGUCACUAUUGUAAAAAUGUUACUUUAUUUUAUUUUUUUAAAUAUUUUUUAAAGAUUUAUUUAUUUUAUGUCUGCGAGUACACUGUUGUUCUCUUCAGACACACCAGAAGAGGGCGUCAGAUCCCAUUACAGAUGGUUGUGAGCCACCAUGUGGUUGACUGGGAUUUGAACUCAGGACCUCUGGAAGAGCAGUCAGUGCUUUUAACCACUGAGCCGUUUCUCCUGCCCUGGAUUUUAUUCGUAAUUAAAAUAUUCUUAACACCAUUUCCCCCUUCCUCUCCUGCUAACACCUUUCGUUUCCUCUCAGAUUCAUGGCCGUUUCUCUCUUUUCUCUUAUUCUUUUACUCACACAAAUACAUAUACAGCCACCUACAUACAACAAAACACAUACACAAGCUCCUGAAUCUAUUUAGUGUUGCUUACAUAUGUAUGUUUUUAGGGUUGACAACUGGGCGCUGGAUAACCAACUAUUGGGCUCUUUCCUUUGGAAGACUAAGGAUCCUCCUCUCAUCUUGGGGUGGGACCCAGUGAGGCAUCUCACAUCCACGUUGUCAUGACAACUGGUGUUGUCAGGCAUUGAGGUCUUACUUAGGGCAGCCAUGUUGCUGAGCUUUCGGCAGCUUCCUUGUAAUAUUUACAAGUCACGGUCUUGAAGCUUACUCGGUCCCCUGGCUUUUACGAUCUUCCUGCACCCUUUCUGUGCUAUUCCCUGAACAAUUUUAGACUUAUUAUUUGGGUGGUGCUAGGUGUUAGCAUUCCUUCUACGCUCUGCCCAACAGUUACCUGGCAACGGCCCUGUAGGCCUGGCUUGCUGUAAAGGGGGCUGUUUGCACCCCUCUCUUCCUCUUUGACUCUUUUCUCUCCCUAACCCCCUUUCCUUUCUCCUUUUACUCCUCCCCCCCUCUCUCCAUGUGUUCCUGGCUUUCCUUAGCCUUACCUAGCCUCUCCCCUCCCCCUCCCCUUCCCCUCUUCUCUCCUCCUCUUCUCUCCCUCUCUCCCUCCUUCCCCUCUCCCUUCCUCCUCCUCCCUCUCUGUGUACCUCUCCUUGUCUCUCCCUGUCCCUGCCCCUCUUCCCCCCAUUCUCAACUCCCUACCCAUGACCUAAAUUAACUCUAUACUAUAUCUGUUGUAUGGCUGGUACCUCAUGGGGAAGGGAUGCCUCAGCAUGGUCCCGCCGAAGCACUCCUCCCACCUCACCAUGCCAUGUCCUACAAAACACAUACUUGGCUUUUUAUAAAACACACCACCAGGGACUGAAGCCAGGGCACUGCGCAUGCUAUGAAGUGCUCUGCUCUUGAACCACACUCCCGUCCCUGCACUUUUUAUUCAAUGAUACUUUUAUUCAUUCUUUGAAAAUAAUUUCAUGUAUUUCUUCAAUGUAUUUUAAUGCCACCUCUCCAACUUUGUCAUGCCUUCCACUCCAUUACCCUACCUACCUCCGAGGUUUUUUUGGACAGUAACAACCCCCCUAAGUCCAAUCAAUACUGUAUGUAACUGUUGGAUCAUUCACUGGGACAAGGGCAUUCUACCACCUGCCAUAUAUCCAAAGAAGAGGGACUCCUCUCUUAGUGGCCACCAGUGUUACUAGAUCCUUUCCAAGGUUGAGGGUCUCAGGAUCCUAUUUCCACUUUUGUGGAAUUGUGACAAAUUGCCAGUGUUUACACCUCUUCCUCGCCACUCCACAUCUUCUGGUGCCUCCUAGCUCCCUUCUGUCAUGGCGGUGGUCACAGCAGCUUCCCUCAGGUGCCUUCUGCUAUGACACAUCCUGUUAUCCCUGUUCUUGGGUAAUGUCAUUGACCAUCUCUGUCAGUUUUUCAAGGCUCAUCCACGUGCUUCAGCUAGUUCAUCCAAGCAGCCACCAGUAACACAGAGGUAGGUGUUUUCACUCCUCUGAAGAAGGGACCUGCUUCUUUCUGUUGCAUAACACUUUAUAUGGAAGUUGGCAAACCCACAGUAGGAAAUCAAAGGAAAAAUGUCUGCCAACAUUGCUUUAAGGAGUUCAUGAUAUAAUUAGGGGCAAGAAAAGGCAGGAAGAGCACCCUUGUUACAGCACUGGUUCACAGAUCCACUGGCGGAAGUCAGAGGUAGGCAAGCCAAUCUCUUCCAAUGGCUUCAAGUUACUGUCUUGAGAGUGGUGAUGUGUACCCCAGUCUCAAAUGCAGGGCUUGUUUGAGAGAAGAUGGAAUUUGCUAAGUGGGGUCAGAAGAAUUUUAGAGUAGAAGAAUUUAGUAGUAGUAAGAAUCUCACUUGCCUGUUGCACAUAAGAGAAGAAGGUGUAAGAAGGUGUGUGUGUGUGUGUGUGUGUGUGUGUGUGUGUGUGUGUGUGUGUGUGUGUGUGCUGUGCAUAGGGACGUUUCCUGGGUCAGAUUGCUGAAGACUUUAUUUGACAACCUAAAGUUCAAACUUCAGCAAUGAUGAGAAACCACCAAGAGAGAGUGAACGGGGGGGAAAAAAUAGAGACGCUAACGCUUUACAAAGAUGGAUGCGAGAAGUCGCAGAACGAGCAUGAAGAUUAAGUUGGGAGUAAUCACCAGCCGUCCUGACACUGGAAGAAAAAUGAUUUCUAAUCAUUUUCCAAAUCUGUAUUGGCUAUCUCUUCACCAAAACCGCUAAGAAGAAGGGGAGUUUCCUUUUCUCGUCCAGUGAUUAAGGGACCACACAGUUUUGCCUCCUGUUUGGACAGCUGUGAUGGUUCACAUGUGAACGCGCUUUUCAGAGGGAAGCGUUUCUUUGCGGAGUCUUUGUGUGGUUUAGGUAUCAGAAUGCUUUACAAGCUUCACGUCAUGCUCACAGAAGACAGGAGCGCAAGGCACUGAGCUUCCUAAGCCACAGUUUGAAAGCGAAUGGGUGCCUAGAAACGUGUCUGUAAAAUCUGUGAAGUCUUGGUAUCGUCAUGGAGUCUGUUGCUCUAUCAGCUUUCCCCUGGAGACAGCAGGAGAGAGACGGAUUCUGGGAACUCUUAAAAAGCUAGUUACAUCCUUUUGUUAUUUUAUUACAAUGUUACAUCGGACAAUGUAACAUUGAUAUGCCCACUGAACUGUGUGUGUGUGUGUGUGUGUGUGUGUGUGUGUGUGUGUGCUGUGCAUAUAUGAAUCUGCUUGUGCUUGUGUAUGUGCACAUGCACGUGUGUAUAUACAUGGAUGUGUGCGGGUACACAUGCACGUAUGUGUUUACAUGGAUGUGUGUAGGUGCACAUGCACGUGUACAUAUUCAUGGAAGCCAGAGACCAGUGAUACUGUCUUUUCUAGUGCUUUCCACAUGAGAGUUUGAGAGAGCAUCCUUCACUAAGCCCAGACAUCACUGACUUGGCAGCGUUAAACAGCCAGUGAGCUCCAGCGACUCUCCAGUCUCGGUUUUCCCAGACCCGGGCCUGCAGGCACGUCCCAUGCCAGGUUUUGUUUUAUGCGGGUACUAUGGGCUCUCACGUCUUUAUACUUAAGUGGCAAGUGCUUUACUAACGUGACUGAAAACCUGCAAGAUGACUCUUACAAGUUAAAGGCUGGAAUAACCCUGAAGGAGGGACUGUUCAUCAGUUAACCUUCGUUCAUAUGUGUGCAAAUGACGUUGCUGCAAAAUGAACAUUGUGAAGCUUUUAAAAACCUUUUGCAGGGUCCAUUCCCUGCCGGUGGCAGUGAUACAGGCUAAGGGGACCUUUUACUCAGGAGGAAGCUGAUUUGAGCAUUCCAAUCUACACGGAUCAGCCUGUUCUUUGGAACAAUGAUUUAAUUGUUCAUCCCUAAGUCACAUAACUUCUAUUUUGACUUAGUCUUUAAGGGAGAGAGUGUGGAUGCAUAGAACUUAAUCAUGGAGUACAGACUUCAUCUUUGUGUGCCCAAUACUAUAAAUCUUCCUGACUAAUGUUUGGUCGUUUUAUUUUGUAAGUCAUAAGCAUAUAGCUUUCUUAUUUUAAAAAGUUUACCCUCUAAUUUAUAUCGGUCUUAAUUUAAAUAUUCUUAAUAAAACAAUCAAAAGUCUUUAGUACAGUUAGAUUCUAAUCAUUCACAGAACAUAAAAAUAUUAAAGCAGGGAAAAUUCCUUCUAUUAUUUUACUGGUCUGGGCAGGCAACAAACAUGCAGGAAGUCAAAAUACUGAGGGCAAGGAGAAGAGAAGACCUAACCCAAAGAAAUCAAAAUAUUUUCACACAAAAAAAUCCUUAUUUUUACUUUUAAUUAAGUGUGUAUGACUACGUCUGAGUAAGGGUUUGUACUUGUCAGUGCAGUUUCCAUUGAUGCCAGAAGAAGGCGCCAGAUCUUUUCGAGCUGGAGUUCCAGGCCACUGUGAGCUGCCCCAAAGUGAGUGCUUGGAUCUGAACUUGGGUCCCCUGCAAAAGCAGUACACAUUCCUAACCACUGAGCCAUCUCUUCAGCCUCGAGGGUUCUUAAUAUCAUGCUAAUCCAACUGUGUCCCGAAAAGUGAAGAGAUUCUUGUGAAGACUGAGAACACUUGGGUCUUGUUUGGUAUUCGUUCAGCUUCUCACUGCCUUUUGACUGGACUUCAACAUUUAUAUAAUUGGAAGAAAAAUACAGGUUAUCCUGACCCCCAGAGGCAAAAUCUGAGUGGGCAAGUGGGAGCCUAGCAUGGCUGUCCUCUGAGAGGCCCAACAAGCAGCUGACUGAGACAGAUGCAGAUACUUACAGCCAACCAAUGGACUGAAGUCCGGGACUCCUGUGGUUGAAUUAGGAAAAGGCUGGAAGAAGUUGUGGGAGGGCAACCUCAUGGAAGACCAGCAGUCUCAACUAACCUGAACCCCCAAGAUCUCUCAGACACUGAGCCACCAACCAGGCAGAAUUCAGGAGCUGAUAUGAGGCCCCCAUCACAUAUAUUCAGCAGAGGACCAGACUUGAGAUAUUGACGUUAAUGCAUAAAUGAUAACUGUCUCCUGAGAGGCUUCAUCCAGCAGCAGCUGCAGAUGGAGGCAGAUGGACCCACGGUUAAACAUCAGGCAGAGCCCGGAGAGUCUUAUGGAAGAGUAGGGGAUAAAAGUCAACAUGGAAUGACAGCUGAAGAGUGUGAGAAAACGUUAUACUUCAAGAUCACAGCAAACAGCUCUGUUGGUUAAGCUGAAGUAUCAAAAUCUGGAAAAACGAAGAGAUGAUCAGUGUGGGCCACUGUGAGCAGAUGGAGUGAAUUAUAUUUUUUCCUAUUUUAUAGCUGUGAAGCCUUAGACGCUACAAGGGCACCCUUGGUAUCAGCAUCCUAACUCUACACACUGUCUUUUAGCUUCUCAAUAAAGGUGGAUGAGAAGAAAACAUCUUACUAAAUAACACAAACGCAUAUGAAUCUCCUCUAUAAAUUCGGGUAUAAUCUCCUGAAAAGAAAAGAACAUAGUUUCUUAUCUAAGUGAGAUUUAAAAGUUUUGCUUUUCCAUCCAGAUAAAGCCAGUUAUGUUUUAAAAGGUGCCUCAACAGCAAGACAUAUUUUGGCACAGAGAGCAAGAGAUGAGAGGAAGUUUGCUGAGCUUCUUAGGGCCUGAGUUUGCCUGGCAUUCGGAGCAAAGAAGGAUGUAUAAGAGUCACAUGCAGAUAGCAUACGUACUGCAUCUGUAUGUUGUAAGAGGCUCAUAGAUGCCCUUGCACUCGAAUUACCAGAUAUAUGGUUUCUGGAGAGAUGCUGGGUAGAGAGAGUAAUGUAAAGGGGAAGAUGGGAAGAAGCUGGAAAUGUAGAAAACAGGAAGGAAGGAGAUGGGGCAAGGGAGAGAAGAAGAAAAUCUUUCUUACAUUCUCUCCGAACUUUUGGAUGAUAAAUACAAAAAUUAUUCUUAUGCUUGGGGGCAUGAUUUGACUGAGGAACCUCUCUAACAGAGGAAAUUGAAAUGAUGCUCUUUAAAUGAAAUGAGAGUGUACAAAGUAAAUGCUCUCAUUUUAAGCAAACCAUUAUUGGUUGUCUGCAGUGACCGGAAUGUAAUCGUUUAGAUGUUUGUUAGUUAAGUCAGGGAAUGAAUGGUAUGCUCUGACAAUUACUGGCAGUAUAUAAAGGUCCCAGGGUAGUAGAGACAUCCACACUUGAGAAAUAUUCUUUUGUAACCCACGUAAACUCUCCUCUAUUGACAACAUGUGUUGUAACUACUACGGCAACUCCUGUGGCUAUGGCUGUGGAUACGGCUCUGGCUAUGGCUGUGGAUAUGGCUCUGGCUAUGGCUGUGGAUAUGGCUCUGGCUAUGGGUGUGGAUAUGGCUCUGGCUAUGGGUGUGGAUACGGCUCUGGCUAUGGCUGUGGAUACGGCUCUGGCUAUGGCUGUGGAUACGGCUCUGGCUAUGGCUGUGGAUAUGGCUCUGGCUAUGGCUGUGGAUACGGUUCCAGGUAUGGCUGUGGAUAUGGCUCUGGCUAUGGAAAUGGCUGUGGCUGUGGAUAUGGCUCCUACUACAGGUCUGGCUGCUGUGGCUACGGACCAUCUUGCUACAGGAGAUGCUAUUCUUGCUGUUAGAACACUCCUAAGAGAGGACCAGUUGCUGCUGAACUGACACUUCUGAAGACAAUGCUUCUUUAAAGACCCCUGGCCAAGAUCUCUAUGUCCAAGAAAUCACGAAUCUGACAAAGCCUUUCACCUCCAGCUGCACAUUUUUAGAAGGCAUCUUUGUGAUCCUGGGAUCUGCAGUAUCGUCUCACUGGCUCUGCUUUCUUGCCAUCUGGUUCUGUUGCCUGAGCAUGUUAAUGGCUGCAACAUCAACAGCUGGCAAUGUGAUUUCUUUUCAAUAAAAUGGGUCUUGGUUUCUAACAAA